RNAcentral lists this unclassified non-coding RNA (433 nucleotides) under Ixodes scapularis (black-legged tick). RNAcentral's name for it is "uncharacterized LOC115318686, transcript variant X1". Lineage: Eukaryota; Metazoa; Arthropoda; Arachnida; Ixodida; Ixodidae. The record is from RNAcentral.
UUUUAGAGGUGUAUCGCAGUCCUGUUGCGAAUAAUAUUCAGAGAAGUGAACACGGUCACAGAACUUUACGCAGGUGCAAACUGCGGAAAACAUUUUUUUUUAUACGCACAAUCCUUGCAGUUUUUUUUUUUUUUUCAAGGCUCUUCGAACGCUUUUUGAAUCGAGUGUUAGGCUCUGGAUUACAGGUGCAGAUUUUGUCUGCUCUUGUCUGCUCCCAAAGCUACCAGUGGCGAGAAAAUUCUCACGGAAUCGCCCGUUGCAAGGAACACGCCUUCAAUCUGGGAUAUAAAUAAGCCACCAAACUUUCCACAUUUCAGACUAGCAAUCACUACUUCGAGAUUCUUCAAGCAAGAAAGCCUUACGGUUUUUUGUAUUCAACCGGUUGCGACAUAGGAUGCAGUGAUAACCACAGGCUGUCGUUGCCAGAGGAGGU